CCUGUGCCCACCCCUUUGGCUAAAGUGGACAGGUCUCUGGACUGGAUAGCCCAUGGAUGAUGUGUGCAGUGAUGGAGGAGACCUUCUAGAGGACAUUGUUUCUGCUACUGGAAUAAGGAAGAAGAUUAAGUAGAACAAGAGGAAACAAGGACGUCCUUGAGAUAAAGCAGGGUUCACUUUCAUUUAAAAGCUCACUUCUCCAAUGGGAAGCUUUUUCUUUUAAUAGUAACAGUGAAACUCUUGGUGAAAGCUAACGCAGUGCCCCAACUCAAUGUUUAUAUCUAAAAUUACAACUGG
Molecule: long non-coding RNA, 297 nt
Filed under: Capra hircus (goat)
Lineage: Eukaryota; Metazoa; Chordata; Mammalia; Artiodactyla; Bovidae
Description: lncRNA (ENSCHIG00010028971.1)
Source: RNAcentral